Molecule: ribosomal RNA, 445 nt
Filed under: uncultured bacterium
Lineage: Bacteria
Description: bacterial SSU rRNA
Rfam family: Bacterial small subunit ribosomal RNA
Source: RNAcentral
AUUGAACGCUGGCGGCAUGCCUUACACAUGCAAGUCGAACGGCAGCACGGGAGCAAUCCUGGUGGCGAGUGGCGAACGGGUGAGUAAUACAUCGGAACGUGCCCAGUUGUGGGGGAUAGCCCGGCGAAAGCCGGAUUAAUACCGCAUACGACCUACGGGUGAAAGCGGGGGAUCGCAAGACCUCGCGCUAUUGGAGCGGCCGAUGUCGGAUUAGCUAGUUGGUGGGGUAAAAGCCUACCAAGGCUACGAUCCGUAGCUGGUCUGAGAGGACGACCAGCCACACUGGGACUGAGACACGGCCCAGACUCCUACGGGAGGCAGCAGUGGGGAAUUUUGGACAAUGGGCGCAAGCCUGAUCCAGCCAUGCCGCGUGCGGGAAGAAGGCCUCGGUUGUAACGACUUUGUCUAGGAAGAAACGGUUUAGGGUCGUAAUACCCGAACCUAA